RNAcentral lists this long non-coding RNA (936 nucleotides) under Macaca mulatta (Rhesus monkey). Its description in RNAcentral is "lncRNA (ENSMMUG00000052941.1)". The record is from RNAcentral. Lineage: Eukaryota; Metazoa; Chordata; Mammalia; Primates; Cercopithecidae.
CAAAUGAGAGCGCAGGGCUAACGCGCCUCCUCCCUCUCGCCCCACCUCUGUGUGAGCGACCCAGUGAAAGAUGAGCCCUUGAGGCACAUUCCCUAGUAGAUUUAAAUGACAAAUCUAGAAAGAAGAGGUUUAAAUAUUUAUGAAGAGGCGGAGAGGUGUAGAGUGUCUUCCGGAAACGCUUCUGAUUGGCUGGUGUUUUCAAGCAAGUGUUAGUUUUAUGAAAUGUCUGCCACAGCCGACUGACAAGCUCCCGGCGGCCUGAGAAGUAGUAUGCAAAUUUUGGAUGAUUGACACCUACAGUAGAAACCAAUCAUGCCAAAGCAGGAUGCUGAUUGGUUGACAACAAUUUGACGUAAACCUUGACGUUUUAAAAACCUGACACCCAAUCCAGGCGAUUCAUGCAAAUAAAGGAAGGGAGUCACAUUACCGGGGGCUGGAGAGACUUGAGUACGACCCCACGUGUUCAGUGGUGGAUAUUGCACAGACGUCGGCAAGGUCUAAAAAGAGAAGAGUUCGUGCUGUCCUCACAUCAAGGCCAGAAUAAGAACUUACGGUCGACAGCCCUCUAGCUGGGAAAGUUCAUGAUUUCUUCAACCAUUUAUACAAGCAGAAUAAUUGCACACUCACUUUUGAUUACUCUGCCCUGUAAUUAUGCAUUUUAAAAUUGCAUUCAGCCUUUAAAAAUAAAUCUACUUAAGAAAACUUUCAGAAUAUAGCCAUUAGCCCUCAUUUUACAAGAAGGCGGGUUCAUUAGGUCUGUUGCUUUGUGCUCUGUCGGUUGACUUUUGUUUAGCCAGAAACUAAUGAUUAGGGUGCCAACGUUUACUUACAUCUCCCUCUGACAUCCUAACUGUGGGUGAAUUUUCUGGCCCAGCACCAGAUCCCUAGUGUCUGCAGGGCAAGAAUCUGCACAUUUUCACCAGUCCCGGUUUCCAG